GAGAAAAAAAUGAUAGCCCAUGGUCCCUCUAAUAAGCAAUAUGCCAGCAAGAGUUGACAAAUAUUUUAAUUCCCAAAGUCUUUGAUCUAAGAGUAUGACAUUCCCCUCCUCGGAUCCCGUUUUGAUCAGGCAAUAAAUGCAAAGUAAGUAUGCUUGAGAAUUUUUGCAAAUUAAAACAGCCUCAGUGAGAUAUAUAAAAGAUAAUGAGUGAUCUGAGAGAACCUAUGAGGAUAAAAAGGUACGCUAACUUUCUUUCAAAAAUAUACAAAAACUCCAAGUGACAGGAUUGAGAAGAAAGGAUCUUUACUCUUAACCAUAUACUUCCCUGACUAU
This 333-nucleotide long non-coding RNA is filed under the name Sorghum bicolor (sorghum). RNAcentral describes it as "long non-coding RNA (SBIC_LNC006806)". Lineage: Eukaryota; Viridiplantae; Streptophyta; Magnoliopsida; Poales; Poaceae. The record is from RNAcentral.